Molecule: long non-coding RNA, 379 nt
Filed under: Salvia miltiorrhiza (redroot sage)
Lineage: Eukaryota; Viridiplantae; Streptophyta; Magnoliopsida; Lamiales; Lamiaceae
Description: long non-coding RNA (SMIL_LNC006765)
Source: RNAcentral
UACACCACCUAAACCAAUUUCACAUAUGAAACUCACCGUCUGUCUCUCUCUGCAAUCGUCUCUCUUCCUCUCUCAAAUCCCUAGUCUCCACCGUCGCCCUGCCGCCGCCUCCACUCACGACGACUCUCUUCGGCCUUGCUGCCCUCUCCAUCUCGACCCCUCUCUCCACCAUCCCACCGUCGCCCUGCCGCCGCCUCCACUCACGGCGACUCUCUUCGGCCUUGCUGCCCUCUCCAUCUCGACCCCUCUCUCCACCAUCCCACCGUCGAAGAACCCACUCCAGAUGCGUCGACUUGAGCGAGAAGACGAUGCAGAGGCUCGAGGCGAUCUGCCGCGAUUCGCAUCAAAAGCCCGCUCCAGCUGCGUCUAACUACCGUCC